GACGAACGCUGGCGGCGUGCCUAAUACAUGCAAGUUGAGCGAUGAAGCUUGGUGCUUGCCCCAAUUUGAAGAGCAGCGAACGGGUGAGUAACGCGUGGGGAAUCUGCCUUUGAGCGGGGGACAACAUUUGGAAACGAAUGCUAAUACCGCAUAAUAACUUUAAACAUAAGUUUUAAGUUUGAAAGAUGCAAUUGCAUCACUCAAAGAUGAUCCCGCGUUGUAUUAGCUAGUUGGUGAGGUAAAGGCUCACCAAGGCGAUGAUACAUAGCCGACCUGAGAGGGUGGUCGGCUACAUUGGGACUGAGACACGGCCCAAACUCCUACGGGAGGCAGCAGUAGGGAAUCUUCGGCAAUGGACGAAAGUCUGACCGAGCAACGCCGCGUGAGUGAAGAAGGUUGUCGGAUCGUAAAACUCUGUUGGUAGAGAAGAACGUUGGUGAGAGUGGAAAGCUCAUCAAGUGACGGUAACUACCCAGAAAGGGACGGCUAACUACGUG
RNAcentral lists this ribosomal RNA (497 nucleotides) under uncultured bacterium. RNAcentral describes it as "partial 16S ribosomal RNA". It matches the Rfam family "Bacterial small subunit ribosomal RNA", at positions 28 to 507 of the family's 1533-position model. The record is from RNAcentral.